UGGUGGCUGACUAAAUACUUAUUUUCCCCACUGUAGGUUAGCUAGAUCAGUGUUCCAGGUGGUUUUGAUGAAGACAUUUAGGUUAGCUAGUUCAGUGUUUGAGCUGGUUUUGAUCAUUUAAGCUAACUAGUUCAGUGUUUCAGCUGGUUUUGAUCAAAACAUUUAGGAUAGCUAGGUCAGUGUUUCAGCUGGUUUGAUCAUUUAGGCUAACUAGUUCAGUGUUUCAGCUGGUUUUGAUCAAGACAUUUAGGUUAGCUAGUUCAGUGUUUCAGCUGGUUUGAUCAUUUAGGCUAACUAGUUCAGUGUUUCAGCUGGUUUUGGUCAAGACAUUUAGGUUAGCUCGAUCAGUGUUUCAGGUGGUUUUGAUCAAGACAUUUAGGUUAGCUAGUUCAGUGUUCCAGGUGGUUUUGGUCAUUUAGGCUAACUAGUUCAGUGUUUCAGCUGGUUAUGAUCAAGACAUUUAGGUUAGCUAGAUCAGUGUUCCAGGUGGUUUUGAUUAAGACAUUUAGGUUAGCUAGUUCAGUGUUUCAGGUGGUUUUGAUCAUUUAGGCUAACUAGUUCAGUGUUUCAGGUGGUUUUGAUCAAGACAUUUAGGUUAGCUAGUUCAGUGUUUCAGGUGGUUUUGAUCAAGACAUUUAGGCUAGCUAGUUCAGUGUUUCAGGUGGUUUUGAUCAUUUAGGCUAACUAGUUCAGUGUUUCAGGGGGUUUUGAUCAAGACAUCUAGGUUAGCUAGUUCAGUGUUUCAGGUUGUUUUGAUCAUUUAGGCUAACUAGUUCUGUGUUUCAGGUGGUUUUGAUCAAGACAUUUAGGAUAGCUAGUUCAGUGUUUCAAGUGGUGUUGAUCAUUUAGACUAGCUAGUUCAGCGUUUCAGGUGGUUUUGAUCAAUACAUUUAGGUUGCUAGUUCAGUGUUUCAGCUGAUUUUGAUAAUUUAGGCUAACUAGUUUAGUGUUUCAGGUGGUUUUGAUCAUUUAGGCUAACUAGUUCAGUGUUUCAGGUAGUUUUGAUCAUUUCGGCUAGCUAGUUCAGUGUUUCAGCUGGUUUUUAUAAUUUAGGCUAACUAGUUCAGUGAUUCAGAUGGUUUUGAUCAACACAUUUAGGAUAGCUAGUUCAGUGUUCCAGGUGGUUUUAAUGAAGACAUUUAGGAUAGCUUGUUCAGUGUUUCAGAUGGUUUUGAUCAAGACAUUUAGGUUAGCUAGUUCAGUGUUUCAGGUGGUUUUGAUCAAGACCUUUAGGCUAGCUAGUUCAGUGUUUCAGGUGGUUUUGAUCAUUUAGGCUAACUAGUUCAGUGUUUCAGGUGGUUUUGAUCAUUUAGGCUAACUAGUUCAGUGUUUCAGGUGGUUUUGAUCAAGACAUUUAGGUUAGCUAGUUCAGUGUUUCAGGUGGUUUUGAUCAAGACAUUUAGGCUAGCUAGUUCAGUGUUUCAGGUGGUUUUGAUCAUUUAGGCUAACUAGUUCAGUGUUUCAGGUGGUUUUGAUCAAGACAUUUAGGUUAGCUAGUUCAGGGUUUCAGGUGGUUUUGAUCAAGACAUUUAGGCUAGCUAGUUCAGUGUUUCAGGUGGUUUUGAUCAAGACAUUUAGGUUAGCUAGUUCAGUGUUUCAGGUGGUUUUGAUCAAGACAUUUAGGCUAGCUAGUUCAGUGUUUCAGGUGGUGUUGAUCAUUUAGGCUAACUAGUUCAGUGUUUCAGGUGGUUUUGAUUAUUUAGGCUAACUAGUUUAGUGUUUCAGGUGGUUUUGAUCAUUUAGGCUAACUAGUUCAGUGUAUCAGCUGGUUUUGAUUAUUUAGGCUAACUAGUUUAGUGUUUCAGGUGGUUUUGAUCAUUUAGGCUAACUAGUUCAGUGUUUCAGGUAGUUUUGAUCAUUUAGGCUAGCUAGUUCAGUGUUUCAGCUGGUUUUUAUAAUUUAGGUUAGCCAGUUCAGUGUUUCAGCUGGUUUUGAUCAAGCCAUUAUUCAUCAACUUCUCAUCAAACAUUCAACUUCUCUCUAUGUAUGGUGUUCUUCCAAAACAUUGCAUUUCUGCGAGCUACAGCACUGCCAACCUGAUACUAACAGAAAUCUGCUCCAAUCUUCCCUCUGUUUCCAAGUAAGGUAAUGUUUACAUUUACAUUUACAUCAUUUAGCAGACACUCUUAUCCAGAGUGACUUACAAAUUGGUGCAUUCCAUGCUAGAUGUCCAGAUUGUUAAUCAGUGUUGGGGUAAUGUUUACCAUACUAGAUGUCCAGAUUGUUAAUCAGUGUUGGGGUAAUGUUUACCAUACUAGAUGUCCAGAUUGUUAAUCAGUGUUGGGGUAAUGUUUACCAUACUAGAUGUCCAGAUUGUUAAUCAGUGUUGGGGUAAUGUUUACCAUACUAGAUGUCCAGAUUGUUAAUCAGUGUUGGGGUAAUGUUUACCAUACUAGAUGUCCAGAUUGUUAAUCAGUGUUGGGGUAAUAAGAAGAAGACCAGGUGCAUACUGCUAAAUACUGCACCAUGGAAAUACAACAGCACAGCAUUUGAGCUAUAGAAGUGUUAAAAAAGGUCGAAGUUCACUUUGAAAGCAGAAAAUGCAUAGAUGUUUUGGUGCUUUCAAGAUGGACAUUUGAAAUUUCAACUGGACUUUUUGCCACUUAAGAUGACUGACAGCUUGAAUAGGAGCUUCCAUGGAUGCUCUCUUUCUGUCUAUCCGUCUAGACAUAUUGAACCUUUCAAUAGCUUCUCCAUUUCCUUUCAUGGUGUGUAGGCCUACACGAAGACUGACUGACUGCAUGCUCGCAUCAGACCUUAUUCAAUAGGAUGUGCUGUCCUUCGAGGGAGAAAGGACAGCACAAACUGAUACUCAGUAGAUAAGCAGAGAACGUCUCCCAAAUGACACCCUAUUUCAUAAAUAGUGCACUACUUUGAGCCCUAUGGGCCUCUGG
Coregonus clupeaformis (lake whitefish) is the source of this 2894-nucleotide long non-coding RNA. RefSeq lists it as uncharacterized. NCBI's taxonomy places the organism in Eukaryota, Metazoa, Chordata, Actinopteri, Salmoniformes, Salmonidae. The transcript is spliced from 3 exons. The record is from RefSeq and is a predicted model, not a curated record.